This 45-nucleotide non-coding RNA is filed under the name Schistosoma mattheei. Lineage: Eukaryota; Metazoa; Platyhelminthes; Trematoda; Strigeidida; Schistosomatidae. The record is from RNAcentral.
AUCCUAUUGACGAGUUCCAAAUUGGAUGAAACGCUCGUCCUGGAU